GAUUUUACUGAUACACAGUGUAGUUGAAUUGACAAGGACUCGCUUUGGGGGAAAAGUUUCAAUCUCCACCCCGCCACUUAUACCAGAAUUUCCUGUUCCAUCUCAUGGUGAACCACGCUUUUCAUGUUUUGUUGAAUCUGAAGCUGGUGGGGUACAAAUUGAAAGAUCCAUUGAUUUAAGAUCCUAGUGACUAUUUGUUCAAGCUCUUGCGUAUUGGAGAUUCUGGUGUUGGCAAAUCACGUCUUCUUUUGAGAUUUGCGGUAAGAUAGGAUCCACAGCAAAAUGGGUGAAGGUUAGUUUCUGCAACUAACAUAAUCUGAAAACCUCCCCUUGUCUACUUGCAUGGUACUUUCAGCAGUGUGUGCCUUUAGAAGCACAACUUGUAACCAGUUUGGCUGCCUGAUUGGUAGUUCCAAAUGCAAGAUCAUGCAUCUGGAGAAUGCUGUGCCCCUGAGCUGGUGAGUUGGCCGAAAAUGUUUCAAAAAUGAUUGAUUCUCAUUUUGCAGAGAAGAUUGAUAUGUCAGAAGUUCAGGUGAUGUAUAGAUUGAAAACCCAAAGAACCAUCCCUCCAUGAAAGAUUUCACUGAAUGAAUAAGACGAUAGUUUUACGACUUAAUUUUAUUUAUAUUUCCGCUGCGAACUCGAUAAUGUGAUAAGCUCCCAUUAAGAGAGAAUUUGAUAAUUUGUUGAAUUCUUUUACUCUAAUGAAAUAAUAAAUAUAGUCAAUUUUAUUCUCGUAAA
Long non-coding RNA from Magnolia sinica, 741 nucleotides. RefSeq lists it as uncharacterized. The record is from RefSeq and is a predicted model, not a curated record. The transcript is spliced from 7 exons. NCBI's taxonomy places the organism in Eukaryota, Viridiplantae, Streptophyta, Magnoliopsida, Magnoliales, Magnoliaceae.